Capsicum annuum is the source of this 2772-nucleotide long non-coding RNA. RefSeq lists it as uncharacterized. The transcript is spliced from 2 exons. NCBI's taxonomy places the organism in Eukaryota, Viridiplantae, Streptophyta, Magnoliopsida, Solanales, Solanaceae. The record is from RefSeq and is a predicted model, not a curated record.
AUCAAAAACACCUUUUCCAAGAUAGAGUUUGGGCUUGCUUCUUUCAUCAUACAAACUUAACCUAUGGGUUUUGACUUCUACCUUUUCCUUUAUCUCUUAUCUUUCUAGAGUUAAAAUUUUAAUCUCUUAUGCGGUUUUUUGCCUGAUAUCUACUCCCUCAAUGAAAGAGGACACCCCUAACUCAGAUCUAAUACUUCUAUAGUAAAGAAAAAGGUUGGGCUUCCUUGCAAAGGAGGACACUCUUUCCUAAUUAUCUAAGAGUGCAGAUUGGAAGAAAUAAGGAUUUAUUGGGAGAUUUCUAAGCUUGGUGAUAAUAUUAUUUGCUAAAUGCCAAAUCUUUUAUGUUUACAUAUACAUGCUUAGUAUCGGCCUUGGUAAUCUAAUAGACGAGGUGGUCUCUUACUUCUGCAACACUUUUUAACUGUCCCUUGGCCAACUAAACUCGGGAGUGUGGCAAACUAUCACCUAUAUUCAUGCACUUACUUUUAUGUUGGGUGUUAGUUUUACCUUGACUCAUCUUCUUAUACUCUAUUUCCUAUGCUUGCUACAGGGUGAGAUAAUUAAAUUGAUCUAUUAGGGCACUAAAUCCUCUACUGGGGAAAUAAGUUAAUUAUAAUCUGCUUGGGUGAUUCCAAGACUAUGAGUGGACUGAUCACUUUAUGUAUCCCUUACAGGCCUCUUUGGGGCUUUUUAUAUAUUUCCAUGGAAUACUCAUCUUAAGUUUUUGUGCAUUAUAUCUCUUUUUUACCUUGCUUCUCAUUAGUACGUCACUUUUUUAUGCAUAUUUCAUAGAUCCACAGUGGCAUCUACCUUGAGACAGCAAGCUCUUUGGUAAAACCUAGAUGAUUUUCCUUUAGGUGGCUUUAUUCUCAAAUGUACCACUGUAGAUAACCACACCUGUGCUAGUGUAUCAAGCUAUCAUGGAUGGAAAGCAAAGAAUCACGAUAAGGAUCUUUUAUAUUUGAGUAAGCCUUAAUUAUUUUAAAAUUUUUAGGAUAUUUCUUAUGCUCUUUUCUACACCAUUUUUGAAGCCAGACUCUGUGAUUCUCCCAUCUUUUGUUGUGUCUCUUAGCCUUGUUGGAUGGACUUUUGAGAGUCACUUCCAUUCUCAGACAGACACAAGCCUGGAACUUCUUUCUAACAAUUCUCUUGUUCCCCAUAGCUCUAGUAGUUUGGGGAAUUACUGGUACUAUCAUAAUUAACAAGAGAAUAUAAUCUUGAAGAAAAGUAGUUUCCAUUGGGAGUUCUGAUAGCUUACCUUACGUAACUUCAAAUAAUUGGGAGAAAUCUCCCAUCUUUGUUGAGUAUGAGAUAGCCAAGCUAUUUUAUUUUAUGGACAAUGAAAGGAAUGAUAAGGGGUCCACCUCGUGCUCUACCUAUUUUAACUAAGAUCAUCCCUUGUAGGGCUAGUCAUAGUCAAAGGUAGUAUCUCCACCUAUCCCUGUGUGUUUGAGUUUUCGAAUGCUAGUUCUUUCUUCAUCUUAAGUCUUGUAGGUAUAGAUCCUUCUACUGAUCAUGCUACCUCGUAUUAAUAGACGACCAUCUUAGUUGUUCUUAGUGAGGUAAACCUUGUUUAUCUCAAGGCUGAUUAAGGUAACUAAUUAUGUAAAUAUCGGCAUUUCCUCAAAGGACUAUCACAAAAUGAAAGAGACCUUUAUUCAAUGCAUAAAUAAAUUAUGUCUCUCAUUAUAUAGUGAGGGUAAGUUAUACUUGUCCCCCUUUUAUUUUUCUUUAGGAACAACUCCUAACAUGCUUCUUUUUUUAGGCAAGUGUCUUAAUGGUUGAGGUGCUUCAAUGAUUAUUGAUGGAGAAGGAAAGUUACUGGUGAGACUCUUGGGGCUCAAAGGUUCUCUAUAUAUUUUGCAAGAGUCGAGCAUUUCUGCCAAUAUUACAACCUAGUGGUUAUCAGAAAUUAAAGUGCUCAAGGCCAAAUUUUAUGCACUUCAAAUUAAAAGGGAUAACCAUCAAAGGGAUGUGCUUCCCUUCUAGCAGAGCAAGUGGCCAUUCUCCAACAGGAGAACCUUUUAUAGUCUAGUUCUAUCAGCACCCUUCUCAAGGGAUAAAUACAUUUAUACUGCCUGCUUGUGCAACCCUCACUCAAAGGGGCAUUCCCCAUCUCCUUCUACAUUUAUACUGCCUGCUUGUGCAACCCUCACUCAAAGGGGCAUUCCCCAUCUCCUUCUACUUAAGAGCCAACUAGGGCCAAGAUCCAUCAUAUGAAAAAGAGGUUCAACACAUUGGAGAAGUAGGAGUUUGCUCGAAGAAAAGUCCUUGACCUCAAGAUGACAUAGGACAGUUUAUCUUGGCAUUCAUCCUUCAUGAGUUCAAAAAGCAACAUCUAAAAUUCAAGAGGGAGAUUGAUAAGUCCUAUGAUUUGGCUAGCCAUAUUGGAAGUCUAGAUCUAAGAGCUAAGGGAUUUGUACUUUAGAAAGAGGAAGAGGACGUAUCUAAUUCUAAGGGAUCGUUUGAUUUGAAAAUGGUUAUCCUGGAAUAACAUAUCCCACCAUGUAUAUGGGAUAAAAAUGGUGGGAUAAGUUAUCUCGGAUUGUAUUAAUUCCUCCAACCAAAUAAAGAAAAAUGUAUUCUUUUAUUUUAUUUCGGGAUAAUUAGUUAUUCCAGAAUGAUCAUUUUCAAACCAAAUACCUAAGGGUGUUAGCAAGAGUAGGGGUAUGUACGCUAUUCGAUUUUGUUAUCCUGACUUGGUGGUUAUCACCUCGGGACAUGGCUCAAAUGUAUUUGCACAUUAUUUUAAAAAAACCUUUUGAUGCCCAA